AGUGAACGCUGGCGGUAGGCCUAACACAUGCAAGUCGAACGGCAGCACAGUAAGAGCUUGCUCUUACGGGUGGCGGGUGGCGGACGGGUGAGGAAUACAUCGGAAUCUACUUUUUCGUGGGGGAUAACGUAGGGAAACUUACGCUAAUACCGCAUACGACCUUCGGGUGAAAGCAGGGGAUCUUCGGACCUUGCGCGAUUGAAUGAGCCGAUGUCGGAUUAGCUAGUUGGCGGGGUAAAGGCCCACCAAGGCGACGAUCCGUAGCUGGUCGGAGAGGAUGAUCAGCCACACUGGAACUGAGACACGGUCCAGACUCCUACGGGAGGCAGCAGUGGGGAAUAUUGGACAAUGGGCGCAAGCCUGAUCCAGCCAUACCGCGUGGGUGAAGAAGGCCUUCGGGUUGUAAAGCCCUUUUGUUGGGAAAGAAAAGCAUCAGGUUAAUACCCCGCUGUUCUGACGGUACCCAAAGAAUAAGCACCGGCUAACUUCGUG
Molecule: ribosomal RNA, 492 nt
Filed under: uncultured bacterium
Lineage: Bacteria
Description: partial 16S ribosomal RNA
Rfam family: Bacterial small subunit ribosomal RNA
Source: RNAcentral